GGGGUUGUGGCUCAGUGGUAGAGUGCUCACCUAGCACAUGUGAGGCACUGAGUUCAAACCUCAGCACCA
RNAcentral lists this transfer RNA (69 nucleotides) under Ictidomys tridecemlineatus (thirteen-lined ground squirrel). RNAcentral describes it as "Spermophilus tridecemlineatus (thirteen-lined ground squirrel) tRNA". It matches the Rfam family "tRNA". Rfam says of the family: Transfer RNA (tRNA) molecules are approximately 80 nucleotides in length. Their secondary structure includes four short double-helical elements and three loops (D, anti-codon, and T loops). Further hydrogen bonds mediate the characteristic L-shaped molecular structure. tRNAs have two regions of fundamental functional importance: the anti-codon, which is responsible for specific mRNA codon recognition, and the 3' end, to which the tRNAs corresponding amino acid is attached (by aminoacyl-tRNA synthetases). tRNAs cope with the degeneracy of the genetic code in two manners: having more than one tRNA (with a specific anti-codon) for a particular amino acid; and 'wobble' base-pairing, i.e. permitting non-standard base-pairing at the 3rd anti-codon position. Lineage: Eukaryota; Metazoa; Chordata; Mammalia; Rodentia; Sciuridae. The record is from Rfam by way of RNAcentral.